GAUUAUGGCUCAGGAUGAACGCUGGCGGCGUGCAUAACACAUUCAAGUCGAACGGCGAUCCCGGAACCUUCGGGGGAAGGGUGAGCAGUGGCGGACGGGUGAGUAACGCGUGAGCAACCUGCCCUGCAUUGCGGGAUAACACAGGGAAACUUGUGCUAAUACCGCAUGACAUAUACUUUUCGCGUGUGAGGUAUAUCAAAGGUUUACCGAUGCAGGAUGGGCUCGCGUAUGAUUAGGUAGUUGGCGGGGCAAGGGCCCACCAAGCCUGCGAUCAUUAGCCGAACUGAGAGGUUGAACGGCCACAUUGGAACUGAGAAACGGUCCAGACUCCUACGGGAGGCAGCAGUGGGGAAUAUUGGGCAAUGGGCGAAAGCCUGACCCAAGCGACGCCGCGUGAGGGAAGACGGUCUUCGGAUUGUAAACCUCUUUCAGCAGGGAAGAAGCAAGUGACGGUACCUGCAGAAGAAGUCACGGCUAACUACGUGCCAGCCGCGGC
This 496-nucleotide ribosomal RNA is filed under the name uncultured bacterium. RNAcentral's name for it is "bacterial SSU rRNA". It matches the Rfam family "Bacterial small subunit ribosomal RNA", at positions 15 to 518 of the family's 1533-position model. The record is from RNAcentral.